This 420-nucleotide ribosomal RNA is filed under the name Triticum aestivum (bread wheat). RNAcentral describes it as "partial small subunit ribosomal RNA". The record is from RNAcentral. Lineage: Eukaryota; Viridiplantae; Streptophyta; Magnoliopsida; Poales; Poaceae.
AUGCGCAAUGGGCUUUCAUCACCGAUGCUCCUGACAUCUUGGAUGAUUUGGAAACACAGGAACGACUGCAUCUUCGGUCGUGCGCGGCCAUCCGUUCACACUAUCGUGGGCAGGAUUAAAGUGGAGGCUAGGCUUUGGGCAAGGGCCGGCGCUGACGGGCUUAGAGUUGUGCUCCCCAUCACAUGGGAUGAUUGUAAACCACCGCCUAUGAGGAAUGUAACUUCAAACUCUCUUUUAAAUGAAAUGAAAUGCAAAGAUCCUUUGCCUUUCUCGAAAAAAAAAAUUGAUUACUUCACCUGUUUUGGGCUGGCAACUUUAUUAUAUAUUCCUACAAAUUUUCAUGGUAACUCUAUGUCCUUUUCCUUCAUAGGGACAUACAUUAUAUGCCAAGUCAUAUGCUUUGCUGUUUUCGACAACUAG